Molecule: long non-coding RNA, 8050 nt
Filed under: Ananas comosus (pineapple)
Lineage: Eukaryota; Viridiplantae; Streptophyta; Magnoliopsida; Poales; Bromeliaceae
Description: long non-coding RNA (ACOM_LNC015292)
Source: RNAcentral
GUUACUUGUGCCCACUUGGACCUAGUGGGGAGACCGGCGGAGUCGGCGGCCGAGCCCACUGGGAACUAUGGAAGAUAGUUCUCACCCCACUCUAUUUCCAGUGGUAGGUACAGGUUUACCGAGCGAGGACCGCGGCAAGGGCAUCGCGCCCAAUCAGUGAGACCGUGGUAGUAUAGUAGCUUUCCUUUUUGCAUUAGCACACCUAUGUAUUGAGAGAGAUUCAUGUAGGUGAGGAUUUGGAGAGCUAUGUAUUUUGAAUGAACAUAUGUAUUCAUUUUGAGGAAAAUAUGUACAUAUAAAAAGAUGCAAAACUAUUGCAAUAGUUAGUAAAGUACUCUCUUUAUUUCACUUAUUUUUACUUGUGGAUUACUUGCUCUUAGUUGUUGACACUACUUGUGCCCCGUUGAAUGUGUAUGUUUAGAAUUUAAAUUUCCUGGGUAAAUUCCUGUACACAUUCCUGUUGUUGAGCCUUGGGCGGACAGGGGAGGUGCUGUCCGUUCGGUGGUCCGCCCAGCGCGCCCGAAUCGUGCCAAAUUGGUAGUGGUUUCGGGGUGGGGCAUGACAGUCGCAUGCUAUCAGAGCAAUAAGAGCAAGUAAAGAGAGUGAGUCUAGGAUAACCUAGGAGACCCUAGGUUGGUAAGCCCUAAGGUUAUAGGUGCGUGAGCGGAACGUGAACCUAUAGCGAUGGCGGAAGUUGAUUCGAUUGGGUCGAAGUUGGUAAUAUGUCUCUAGUUGUGAUUAGAGACAGAUUCAAGUGGUAUGAGUUCUUGUCUUGAGGUGGUUGUGUCGGCUGCCGACGACAUGAUACCAAGAGUCUAGAACGAGUACACUUGUGUGCUUCCGCCCGAUUUCGUUGUUGAGUCGUUGUGUGUCGUAAUUGCGACGAGGCGAACGGAUUAAGAUAAUUGACCAAGUACUUGUGUUUCAGGAGCCAAUGGCACCAAGAGGACGCCCGAGCACGAGGUCUACUCCGGCACCGCUUCCCGAGGUGCCCGAGCAGGCUGAACCCAGCGAGAUGGAUCAGUUGCGAGCGCAAGUGACCGCGUUGACCAAUAUGGUGCAGCGCCAGGAGACCCGAUUCGAGCGGCUCCAGGAUCUUUUGGAGCGGCAGGUUGCGACGGUGGCUGCGACGGUGAAUGAGGGCGGUGGUUCGCCCGCACCCUCGACUCAUGUACCCGGAGCAGCAGAAUGUGAGGGUAUAGCGACGGUUCCGGUGACGGCACGCCCACCACCAGUGAUCGUACCACAAGCGGCGUCGGGAUCGGCUACACCCGAUGUGACGGCCGAAGAUGUGGAAGGAGAGCGCGGAUUGGCGGCUCUUAUUAAGUUCAACAAGUUCCAUCCGCCUACCUUUGAGGGCGAGAAGGUGGAGCCGGCGAUGGUCGAGUCUUGGAUCGAUUCGAUGGAGACUCUCUUUGAGGACUUGCGUACCUUGGAGAGGGAUAAGGUGUACCUUGCCACCCACUGUUUGGAGAAAGCGGCAAAGGUAUAGUGGAAGCGCGUGAAGCGAGAUCGGUCUUCCAGUCUCCCGCCGAUGCUGUGGGAGGAAUUCAAGCGGGAGAUGUUCGCCAACUACUUCCCCGAUACACUAAAGCGGAAGCUCAAGGAGAAGUUUCGCAAGUUGGAGCAAGGGGACCGCUCAGUGGCAGAAUAUGAACAAGAGUUCUCCCACAUCAUCGAUUGUGUUCCGAACAUUGUGAAGGAUGACCAGGACAAGGCCGAUUGGUUCUUAAGAGGACUUCGGCCGGGGAUUUAUAAGGCCGUGCAAAUACUCAAGCUCACGACCUUUGCGGAGGUCUUCGACCGAGCACUUUGGGCGGAGCACGGAGACGCCCAUGUCCGGGAGAAGCAUGAGAUAUUGGCCGAGUCCAAGGAUAAGGGCAAGAAACGCCAAGGCGGUAGCAGUUCGGGGGGACAAACACGUUCCAAGAAGCCCCCGAAGUAUCCACGGACUUAGCAAAAGGGCGGUGGAGCGCGGCGAUGCAUCAUAUGCGGCGGAGACCACCCAGUCUCGCGAUGUGAGCAGGGCCGAGGCAAGUGCUACAAGUGUGGGCAACCGGGGCACUUCAUUCGAGACUGCCCCGGAGGAGGAGCCUCACCUGCCCCAUCGAUUGCAUCGGCGCCGGUGAUUCCGCCUUACUAUGGAGGAGCUCCACCGGCGGCCGCGUCGACCGGACGCGCGGUGAUGCCUCGUCAACCCGAGGUGACGCGAUCAGCUCCGAGCAGUCGGGUAUUCGCCGCUCAGGUCCAAGCUGAAGAGCCUGUGGAGGCGGAGGAGCAUCGCCUUGUGGCAGGUAUGGUUUUAAUUAACGGAGUUCGCUCCAGGGCUUUAUUUGAUACAAGAGCCACGUAUUCAUUCAUAAGUAGAUCAUUCGCACGCAUGCAUGGCAUACCCAUAGAGGCGAGUGACAAGUGGCGAGUUGAGGGCCUUAGGUCGACUUUUAAUGCCUAUUCGGACGCUAGAACUCAAGAAGCUCGAGGCUUAUGACAUCAUUUUGGGCAUGGACUGGCUCUCGAAAUAUCAUGCAACGAUUGACUGCAAGAGCAGAGUAAUUACAUUUCGUGAGCCAGGACAAAAGGAGUUCACAUAUCGGGCUUGUCAGAGCUCGUGCUUCGUCGCAACGGUGUCGGCGACAAAAGCAAAAAAGUUGGUCAACAGCGGUUGCACGACAUUUUUGGCAACUGUUGUGGAAGUGGAACGAGUGACUCCGACAUUGGAGGAGCUAUCGGUAGUGCGGGAGUUCCCGGAUGUGUUUCCUGCGGAGUUGCCGGGGAUACCACCGAACCGGGAGAUCGAGUUCGUCAUAGACUUGGUUCCCGGUACCGCAUCGAUCUCGAAGGCUCCGUACCAAAUGGCGCCGGCGAAACUGAAAGAGUUGAAGAGUCAAUUGCAAGACCUCCUCGACAAGCAAUUUAUCCGGCCAAGUGUAUCACCGUGGGGAGCCCCGGUAUUGUUUGUACGGAAGAAGGACGGAUCGUUUCGACUCUGCGUGGAUUAUCGAGAGUUGAACAGAGUCACGAUCAAGAACAAGUACCCACUACCCCGAAUCGAUGACUUGUUCGAUCAGUUGCAGGGGUCGUGUGUGUACUCGAAGAUAGGCUUGCAGUCCGGCUAUCAUCAGUUGAAAAUUAAGCCGGAGGAUGUGCAGAAAACCUCGUUUCGUACGCGGUACAGGCACUAUGAAUUCACGGUCAUGCCAUUUGGACUCACGAACGCUCCAGCGGCAUUUAUGGACUUGAUGAACCGUGUCUUCAGGAAGUUUUUAGAUCGAUUUGUCGCGGUCUUCAUGGUCUAUUCUCGUAGUGACGAGGAACAUGCUGAGCAUUUGAGGAUAGUGCUUCAAACCCUUCGGGAGGAGAAGCUGUAUGCUAAGUUGAAGAAGUGUGACUUCUGGCUCCGAGAAGUUGCAUUUCUAGGGCAUGUGAUUUCCACGGGUGGAGUUUCUGUAGACCCGAGGAAAGUUGAGGCAAUCAAGGAUUGGCCGCGCCCGACGAAUGUCACGGAGGUUCGAAGCUUUGUGGGCUUGGCGGGCUAUUAUAGGCGGUUUGUGGAAGGCUUUUCCAAGAUAGUGAUUCCACUUACCCGCCUGACUCAGAAAGGCACCAAGUUUGUUUGAAGCGAGGAGUGCGACCAGAGUUUCAAAGAGUUGAAGCAGAGAUUAACUUCGACUCCGGUGCUCGCUCUACCGGUGCAAGGCGAGGACUUCGUAGUCUACAGCGACGCCUCCUAUCUAGGACUGGGGUGUGUUUUGAUGCAAAACAGGAAGGUGAUUGCUUAUGCAUCCCGUCAACUGAAGAGCUAUGAGAAGAACUAUCCCAUCCACGAUUUGGAGCUAGGAGCAGUAAUUUUGGCCUUGAAGCUGUGGCGGCACUACUUGUAUAGUGCCUAUUGUGAGAUUUACACAGACCACAAGAGUUUGAAAUAUCUAUUCACACAAAAAGAGCUCAACAUGAGACAGCAGCGGUGGUUAGAACUGUUAAAGGAUUAUGAUGUGGAUAUCCUUUACCAUCCCGGGAAAGCCAAUGUGGUCGCUGAUGCAUUGAGCAGAAAGUCGGCAGAGAACCUCUCGAUGUGGGUUACAAAUCAAUCACCCUUGUGGUUAGACAUGGAGCGGAUGAACCUUGAGGUGGUCGCUCCCGAGGUUCCGGCCCAGUUGAUGGCGCUCGUUAUUUAACCGACCUUGUUGGAGAGGAUCAAAGAUCUGCAACCCGCAGACCCAGAACUCCAAAUGGUACGGCGAAACAUCGAGGAAGGUCGAGGCGGCGAUUUCAAUUUAGACACCGGUGGUAUACUCCGGUUUCGAAACCGAUGGUGUGUGCCAAAAGAUAGAGAGCUUCGCGAGCUAAUUCUACAAGAAGCGCAUCGAUCUCUAUAUGCCGAUCACCCGGGCGGCACCAAGAUGUAUCAAGGACUAAAAAUACACUACUGGUGGCCGGGAAUGAAGGGUGAUAUUGGACGCUUUGUGGCGAAGUUCUUGACAUGCCAACAAGUGAAAACAGAGCGUCGAUUUCCAACGGGAAAGCUUCAAAGCCUACCAAUCCCCGUUUGGAAAUAGGAGGAUAUAUCGAUGGACUUCGUGGUCGGCUUGCCUCGCUCAACGGGCGGCCACGAUGCAAUUUGGGUAGUUGUGGACCGAUUGAUGAAGUCGGCUCACUUCUUGCCAAUCCACACCACGUGGUCGGGUGACAAGUUAGCGCAGGUAUACCUCGACGAGAUAGUGAGACUGCAUGGGGUGCCGAAAUCGAUCGUGUCGGAUCGUGACCCCCGAUUCACUUCACACUUCUGGAAGAGCCUGUAGGAAGCCCUUGGCACACGCUCGACUUUAGCACCGCAUUUCAUCCUCAGACCAAUGGGCAAACAAAGGGAAACAUUCAAACUCUGGAGGACAUGUUGCGAGCGUAUGUCAUCGACUAUAAGGGAAGUUGGUGUGAUCACUUACCUAUGGCCGAGUUCGCCUACAACAACUGUUGUCAUGCUAAUGUGGAGAUGGCACCGUUCGAGGCUCUUUAUGGGCGGACGUGUCGGUCUCCUAUACACUGGAGCGAUGUGGGUGAGCGUACAGAGUUCGGCCCCGAUGUUCUACGAGAAGCGGAGGAGAAAGUCCGCCUUGCUCGCAAGAGAUUGCUCACGGCGCUGUCGAGACAGCAAAGCUAUGCAGAUAGGCGCCAACGAGAUAUAGAGUUCGCGGUGGGCGACCCCGUGUUCUUGAAGGUUUCACCGAUGCGGGGUGUAAAGCAGUUUGGAGUGCGGGGAAAGUUGAGUCCCCGAUACAUUGGACCCUAUGAAAUAUUGGAGCGAGUUGGCACGGUGGCUUAUCGACUGGCUUUGCCGCCGAAGUUCGCGGAUGUACACAAUGUGUUCUAUGUCUCCAAUCUCCACAAGUAUAUCCACGACCCCCAGCACACAAUGCUAUAUGAGCCACCGGAGCUUCAAGGGGACUUGAGCUAUGAAGAGUUUCCGGUGAUGAUUAUCACACGAGAGGUGCGAAAGUUGAGGAAUCGAGAAAUUCCCUACGUGAAGGUUCGGUGGAGCAAUCAUGAUGAUCGCGAGGCCACCUGGGAACUCGAGGAUCUAAUGAGAAAGCACCACCCUCAUCUGUUCGAGGGGUGAGGUAAAAAGAUUUAAAUUAAAGUUAGAAAAUUAGUCCGUUUCGAGGACGAAACUCCUUUUAAGGAGGGGAGGAUGUAAGGAAGUGAAUUCUCGAAAUCCGAGAGUUGUACUUCGUCCAGGAUCGACUAUUUGUCGAGUGAGUAUCCUUCGGGAAAGCUAAAGUUAUCCAAAACACAAAAAGUGCAUUGGAGUUGAGUCCGCGAGAGCAUAUAGUGCAAAACCUGCACUGGGCUGAAGUUACUCUCGGGGACCGGUCCCUGGCAGGGAGAGACCGGUCCCCGAGGCUGGUGGUUGCUGGGGAUCUUUGAUACAACCGGUCCCUGGCUGAGGGGACGGGUCCCUAGCUGAGGGGACCGGUCCCCGUGUGCGACGCCAGCGAGAGAAGGCCAAAAUCGGCUAAGUCCUGAAAAUCAAGCUCUCGGGGACCAGUCUCUCAGGCGAGGACCGGUCUCCCGAGGACCGGUCUCCCAGGGAGAGACCGAUUCUCGAACGUGAAGAGGCCUUCUGGCCGCCAGGACUGCUCUCGGGGACCGGUCUCCCCGACGAGGGACCGGUCCCUCUGGGCGCAGAAUGCCUAGUGAGGGCUGUGUACAGGGUGAAAAGUUGAGGAGCUAAAUUGGAUUUUGUUACAAUAAAGGGGUAUGUAGGCCCCCUCUCUCUUCCUCAGCCUCUCAUUCUCUCUCUCUCUCUCACUCUCUCUUGCUCCCUCUCUCUCUAGAAAGAGAAGAAGAACAAGAAGAACAAGAAGGAGAGGAAGGAAAAUGAGAAGAAGAAAAAGGAGGUGAAGAAGGAGACCAAGAGGAAGGCCUUGGGCACCUUCAUCUCCCUCUCCUCUUUUCUUUAGUGUAGCUCAAGAGGUAAGCUACCAAACCCUAACUUUGAGAACUUACGAUUUUUGGGUUUUGAGCUUUAAGAUGAGGUCAAAUGGACUUCUAACACCAUUGUUGGUGGAUUAGAGCUAGAGGCUAGGGUUUCAUGGUGCAAAUGGCAUGAUGCUAACCCUAGGGCACCCAAAAUGGAAUUUUUGGAAAUAGAUGAGAUUGAUCUCAUUUGAGGCCUUGUAAACCUAAUUGCUAGGUGUCCAAACGCGUUGGCGGAGUCGGAAUUACGAUUCGUCGAGCGGGUGUAGAGCUAUCGGCAAAGUAGGGACGACCUAGCUUCGUUCCUCCCAAGGAGGCAGGGAACACGUGGUUUGAAGUGCCGAGGAACACUUCUAGAACCUCCACAACGAACAUCGACUACACAAGGUUGGGGGUGUCAUCCCGAAGCAACCGGGCUCUUUUCUAUGUCUUAGAAUAGCAUAUGAUUGCAUCUCUUGCAUGUUGCAUUGUAGGAUUGCAUAGUAGUACCUUUCCUUAUGCUUUCUAAUUGAUAACCUAGUGUACAUGGAACGCUUGGUGACUUGGAUAGGUGAGGAUUGGGUCGGAACAUGAAUCCUAUAAUGCUAAAGAAAAGAGAUGAAACACGAUGGGUGUUUGGUGACAUAGAAAGUAGCGUUUAAAUACUAAAGAACAAACGAGUGGCAUCAAAUGUUAAAGAACAUAUCGAGUGGCAUUAAUGUAGUGUAUUUGACACUAGAGGUCGAUGGACCUAGGGAUAGGUUGAUCCCUUAGAAAAUGCCUUGUGAACAAUGAAUUUAGAAAUGCUAAACAACAUUACAUGAAUGUUGGGAAUAGAUGAUUCCGCGAGAGAUGUUGACCCUAAUUCAUAGGAUAUCCUCACAUGGAGAGGAUAUAGACGAGUGUCUAUUGAGAUGUUGGCCCUAGAGGUAGGGUGUCCCCACAUGGAGGGGAUAGAUCAUGCUCACGGUCUGCUUUGGGGUGGUAUAGCCAUCCAUAUCCUAACGUGGAGAGGAUUGUUAUCGAGUACUCCGGAGUGUCGUGCGAUUUGGACCACUUGGAGGUCCGGACCACAUGGAGGUCCGCAGACGGUCCCGGGUCUGGGAGCACAUAGAGCUCCCCACCCAAUGGGAUGGCCAGGUGAGUCGAGGGCAAACCCAAGGGCUUCGCCACAGAUUGGGUAAAUGAACAGUUAACAAUAUCAUUGAACAUUAAUAUUCGAACAUGGAUCGAAUUUGUUAGCAUGAUAGUAAACCUUUACUAUAUGAUGCAUACAUUCAUUAUACAUGAUUAUGGGCAUAGUUGCAUAGUUUUUCUUUAUGCCUUUACAACUUUCAGAUAUCUAUCUAUCUGUUGUUACUUGUGCCCACUUGGACCUAGUGGGGAGACCGGCGGAGUCGGCGGCCGAGACCACUGGAAACUAUGAAAGAUAAUUCUCAGCCCACUCUAUUUCCAGUGGUAGGUACAGGUUUACCGAGCGAGGGCCGCGGCAAGGGCAUCGCGCCCAAUCAGUGAGACCGUGGUAGUAUAGUAGCUUUCCUUUUUGCAUUAGCACACCUAUGUAUUGAGAGAGAUUCAUGUAGGUGAGGAUUUGGAGAGC